AUCGUUACAUUGAUACGAUAUAUUGCGAUGUUCUUGUUUUUCUUUCGUAAACAAACCCUGAUUAUAUUAUAUUCAAGGAAACAGCAAGUAACCAUUAACAUUUAUAGAGGAGAAUGAAAAUAAGUUACGCAUUACAGUUGGCCAACUAUCUACUUGGUGGUGAAAGAGCAAGUGCUCUUCAAGAACUCGGUUUCUUUGUACCCAGGACAAGGUUGUUUGCGAUACCAAGGGCCAGAACCAGUCGGUUGCACAUAUUAACAAAACCGUUGCACCUACUGAAUGCGGUCUCCGAUACUAUCGAAAUCUUUAUACGUUCGAAAAUGCUACUAUGAAAAUAAGAACAGACAUUUACCGUUAUUAUGGAAAAUCUCAAACUCCCUUAGUCGUUGGUUUAAAGGUCUAAACAAAAACGUCUUAAAUAUAGACAAAUAGCUGGACUUAGUAUGAAUUGGGCUGAAGUAAAUCUUACUUUAUGAUUCAAAGGUAAGGUAUAUAAUCUCAACCAUUUUUCUACGUUACGCAGUUAAGUGUUUUCUGGAGCUUAUAAUACUUUGAGCUUUUUGUUGGAUAUAUGACAUUGGCUUUUUACAGUAAGUAUGAAAAAGGUGUUCGAAAAACUUAAGGGAAUUGAACUUUACCGAAACUCAUGUGACGUAAUGAACAUAUGCUCUUUUACUAACACUGUAAUGUUAUGACUGCCUGGUAAUAAGAAAGGGUGACAAAUAACGCUUUGACGCUGAAAUUUUCAAAUAAGCUUUAGCAACACUAAUUUUAUGUUACCCUGAUGAUGGAGAACUUUGGAAACCUGCCAUUAUUAUAAAGCUGGACAAUUUAAGAAUUUCCGUAAGUACCGGAAGCAAGGGGGGGACCUUAGGAGGUCAUUGGCUGUAGUAAUUAAAAGAUUACAUAAUGCCAUCCUUUGUCUCGGCACGUUGCAUAUUCAGCAGGGGUCGUGAUCCAGUUCUUAGGAUAUAAAUGCAGGCAUACAUUUUCGACACCUCGUAACUCCUUUUUUAAUAGGUCAAGAAUUAACGUAAAUUGGAAUUACGUACUUCC
Pieris brassicae (large cabbage white) is the source of this 1056-nucleotide long non-coding RNA. RefSeq lists it as uncharacterized. NCBI's taxonomy places the organism in Eukaryota, Metazoa, Arthropoda, Insecta, Lepidoptera, Pieridae. The record is from RefSeq and is a predicted model, not a curated record. The transcript has 3 exons.